This 359-nucleotide ribosomal RNA is filed under the name Salmonella enterica. RNAcentral describes it as "partial 23S ribosomal RNA". Lineage: Bacteria; Pseudomonadati; Pseudomonadota; Gammaproteobacteria; Enterobacterales; Enterobacteriaceae. The record is from RNAcentral.
AGUGGGAAACGAUGUGGGAAGGCCCAGACAGCCAGGAUGUUGGCUUAGAAGCAGCCAUCAUUUAAAGAAAGCGUAAUAGCUCACUGGUCGAGUCGGCCUGCGCGGAAGAUGUAACGGGGCUAAACCAUGCACCGAAGCUGCGGCAGCGACRCUSAKGYGUUGUUGGGUAGGGGAGCGUUCUGUAAGCCUGUGAAGGUGUGCUGUGAGGSWUGCUGGAGGUAUCAGAAGUGCGAAUGCUGACAUAAGUAACGAUAAAGCGGGUGAAAAGCCCGCUCGCCGGAAGACCAAGGGUUCCUGUCCAACGUUAAUCGGGGCAGGGUGAGUCGACCCCUAAGGCGAGGCCGAAAGGCGUAGUCGAU